GAUGAUUUAAAACGAUCUGGUGACUUCCUGCAUUAUUUAUGGAUUGCAUACAGAAAGUAUGUGCUAAUUUGUCCCUUAGAAUCUAGUUUCUUCCUUUAAGUACCUAUUGAGACCUCUGGCAGAAGAAUGUGGCUUUGGAACUAAACCAGAUAAUGGAUAUUAUUAGCAAGAUUGUUUGUUGAAGUGUAAAAGUAUUUCCCCAGAUUUUCCUCCCUUCAUGCUUAUAAUCUUGCGGGGAGGGAGCGCAGGGAAGGAAACUACCAGUCCUUCAAUUUAGCAAGAUGAAAAGUGGAUCUUUCAAA
This 302-nucleotide long non-coding RNA is filed under the name Bos taurus (domestic cattle). RNAcentral's name for it is "long non-coding RNA NONBTAT002664". Lineage: Eukaryota; Metazoa; Chordata; Mammalia; Artiodactyla; Bovidae. The record is from RNAcentral.